UAAAAAUUUAAUUUAUAUUUAAAAAUUUAUUUUAUAAAUAAAAAUAUUAAUAAAAUUUAUGAAAAAUAAUUAUUAAAUUUAAAUAAUUAAUAAUAAAAUUAAAGAAUAUAAUUAAUAUUUAUAAUAAUUAAAAUUAUGUUAAUAAUAUAUAGUAAUUUAUAAAAAUAAUAAUAAAAUUAGUGCCAGCAAUUGCGGUUAUACUAAUAUUAUAAAUAAAUUUUUUUAUAAUUAAUAAUUUAAUAAUAAUUUAAAAAUUUUAAUAAAAAAUAAUUUUUAUAUGGUGAAAUAUUUAAGAUAAUAAUAAGAUUAAUAUUGAAUAAUAAAUAAAUUUAUAAAAUUAUAGAAAAAAUUAGGAUUAGAUACCCUAUUAUUAUAAUUAAAAUUAGUUAAUAAAAGAUUAAAUGUAAAACAUUAAAUUUAAAAAAUUUGGCGGUAUUUUAAAUAGUUAGAGGAAUUUGUCAAUUAAAUGAUAAUCCACGUUUGGAGUGUCCUAGUCUAGUUUUUAUAUAUUGUUGUAUAAAAAUUAUUUUAAAAGAAAUUUAAUAAUUAAAAUAUUUAAUUUAAUUUGAAUAUAAAUCAAAAUGUAGAAUUAUUAGGUAUAUAGAUGAAUUACAAUUUAAUUUAAUAUUAGAAUUAUUUUUUUAAUUAAAAUAAUGAAAGAGGAUUUAAGAGUAAAUUUAAAGAAAUUUUUAAAUUGAAAUAUUAAUUAAAAUAUGUACAAAUUGCCCGUCAUUUUCAUAAAUUAAUAAUUGAAAGAAGUCGUAACAAAGUAAAUGUACAGGAAUGUGUAUUUAGAUAAGU
This 801-nucleotide non-coding RNA is filed under the name Pheidole megacephala. Lineage: Eukaryota; Metazoa; Arthropoda; Insecta; Hymenoptera; Formicidae. The record is from RNAcentral.